This 22-nucleotide microRNA is filed under the name Arabidopsis thaliana (thale cress). RNAcentral's name for it is "ath-miR2933b". The record is from miRBase by way of RNAcentral. Lineage: Eukaryota; Viridiplantae; Streptophyta; Magnoliopsida; Brassicales; Brassicaceae.
GAAAUCGGAGAGGAAAUUCGCC